GCCAAGAUUAAGAAAAACCAAUUCGGCGCCAUCCCCAAGUCCUCCACAACAUUUGCUCUUAUCACCAUGUUCCAUAAAUGGACAAAAGAUACUGACGAAAAUGGCGCCACCACACCACAAGAGUUGUCCUCUUCAAUUUUCGCAAGGCUUUUGAUCUCAUCGAUCAUAAUAUUCUUGCCACGAAACUCGCGACCUUAAAUAUCCCUCAUAAGAUCGAAUGUUGGAUCAUAGACUUCCUUAAACACCGUAAGCAGCGAGUCAAAUUGGCGGAUGACUGCAAAUCAGAAUGGAGGGAUAUUCCAGCAGGUGUCCCCCAGGGGACCAAGUUGGAGCCGUGGCUUUUUCUACUAAUGAUCGAUGACAUUGACAACACUAACACUGACAUUUGGAAGUUUGUGGACGACAACACAAUGUCCGAGUGUGUGGAGAGAGGCA
Non-coding RNA from Paramuricea clavata, 435 nucleotides. Lineage: Eukaryota; Metazoa; Cnidaria; Anthozoa; Malacalcyonacea; Plexauridae. The record is from the annotation of a GenBank genome assembly.